Gadus morhua (Atlantic cod) is the source of this 58-nucleotide microRNA precursor. The record is from Ensembl. Lineage: Eukaryota; Metazoa; Chordata; Actinopteri; Gadiformes; Gadidae.
UAUGGCUUCUUAUUCCUAUCUGACUGUUGAUGGCUCAUAUAGGGAUGGAAGCCAUGCA